UGGGGAAUAUUGGACAAUGGGCGAAAGCCUGAUCCAGCCAUGCCGCGUGUGUGAAGAAGGCCCUCGGGUUGUAAAGCACUUUCAGCGAGGAAGAACGCCUAGGGGUUAAUACCCCCUAGGAAAGACAUCACUCGCAGAAGAAGCACCGGCUAACUCCGUGCCAGCAGCCGCGGUAAUACGGAGGGUGCAAGCGUUAAUCGGAAUUACUGGGCGUAAAGCGCGCGUAGGUGGCUUGAUAAGCCGGUUGUGAAAGCCCCGGGCUCAACCUGGGAGCGGCAUCCGGAACUGUCAAGCUAGAGUGCAGGAGAGGAAGGUAGAAUUCCCGGUGUAGCGGUGAAAUGCGUAGAGAUCGGGAGGAAUACCAGUGGCGAAGGCGGCCUUCUGGACUGACACUGACACUGAGGUGCGAAAGCGUGGGUAGCAAACA
This 427-nucleotide ribosomal RNA is filed under the name uncultured Halomonas sp. RNAcentral describes it as "bacterial SSU rRNA". It matches the Rfam family "Bacterial small subunit ribosomal RNA", at positions 355 to 774 of the family's 1533-position model. The record is from RNAcentral. Lineage: Bacteria; Pseudomonadati; Pseudomonadota; Gammaproteobacteria; Oceanospirillales; Halomonadaceae.